RNAcentral lists this long non-coding RNA (38443 nucleotides) under Cucumis sativus (cucumber). Lineage: Eukaryota; Viridiplantae; Streptophyta; Magnoliopsida; Cucurbitales; Cucurbitaceae. The record is from RNAcentral.
UUUUAUGAUGUGUGGACGUUCAAUUAAUGAGAUCAUAAUUGUAUUUAGGUUGUAAUAGUUUGUUUUUAAAAUAAACAAUGUUAGCAUGAUGUUGCAAAAAGGAAAACAGAUAACUGAAAUAAAAUAUCAAAUAUUGGAAUUUCAUUUGGAAAUCAAGUAUGUUGAUGACCUAAAAGAUGUAGUGAUCCAAAUUAUCGUAGUAGGUCACUAGAAAAUAUGAUAGAUAAAAAAAUCAACUCGAUUGACCAAACAAGAGUUGAUUAAUCGGAGAACAAGAGAGGUUAAUUGAUAUCGAUUUACGCAAAAUUUGAAAUAAAAAAUUUAAAAAACAAUUCAAAGUAUUAGAUGGACUUUUAUUCGUACGUUGAUCAUAGUCAAUUAUGUGGUGGAUUAGUCGAAAAAUCAAAAAUAUAUUUGUCACCUAACAUUUGAGAUAUUUUUGAAACAAAAAUGGAGGGGAUAUUAUUUUUUAUAAUUUUACCAAAAUUUUGUUUUAUGGUUGGAUAAAACCCUUCAAAAACCCCUUACACACAAAGGUAGUAAAUUAUAAUUUUUCUCCAAAAUGGGCUAAAUUCGUAAAUAAAUGAUAAAAGAAAGAGAAGAAGAAGAAGAAGAAGAAAAGCCCCUAAACCCUUUCUCUCUCUUCUUCUCCUUCUCCUCCUCUCAUAUAUCUUUUUUGCCGCCACGCCUCUCAGGCCGCCACGCCUCUCAGGCCGCCACGCCAACCACGAAUCGCCUUCGAUGUAUGUCUGAAUCAAAUGUUUCUUUCUUUUAUUUGUUAUUUUGUCGAUUCAAGAAUCGUUAACUAGUAAAUUUUGAGUGAUUCUAAUGGUUUCCUUUUUGUAUUUGUUCUUUUCAUGGACGGACCUGACCCUUCUUUGCCCUUGUUUCCUUAUUCAGCGUGUAUUGCUUCAACCGCUGAAGCCGCCCCCAGUACCGACGGAAAAUAAGUCUCCGCCGUCGUCCAUUGCUGUCGGACUGUAAUUCCCGAAGCCAUUUCCUUUCUGUUCAGGUUCUUCGGAUUAAUAUCUUGAAAUUUGGAGUUCUUCGAUGGAAUCAAUGGCGGACGACACGAAAUCUGUUGAAUUAGAAGAAAACCAUUACGCAAGCUCACAGUCUCCAGCGAAGAAGAAGAAGAAGAGUGAAAAGAAGAAGAAACGAGUUCUAUCAAUGGAUGCUAAAAUCCAAGUUCUCAGCAACCAGCCUCAGAAAACUCCGCCGGUAGUUGGUUAUUUCCCGUCUGGGUUUGAUCCUCACAAGGAUGCUGACAAGGAACAGUCCCGUUCUGUAAGGGCUAGGGUUUAUAAGCACAAGAACAGACCAAAUAGGAUGCAGCUGGUUGUGAGUCCAACAGGGUCGAAUGUGGAUUUUGUUGGUACCAAUUAUUUAGGCGAGGCUACCGCUGGGAAACAGCAUUGCACCUAUGCUCUCGGUGUUCUUGAUAAGGCCACCCAAAGCUUAAAGAUAGUGCCUAUUGCAUCGAAUAUGGUACAUUAUUCCUCAUAGUGAAUGUAGAGAAUUAGGAUUUGUGAAAUUUUGAAUUCUACUUGUUGCAUUUUUGUUUUUGUAUACUCAAUUUAUAAACGCCUCUUCUUGUUCUUCAUCAUUAUUUAUUUACAUAUCAUCAAAUUUUUAGUAUUUUUUCUUUUGAAUGAAUUGGGCUCCUAGAUCUGCUUUUCUUGAUCUUUUCUGGAAAAACCACUAAACAGGGUGUGAGCUGUUUUCAUCAAGCUGGGAGAUUACACCACUGAAGUUUCUGAACGAUUAUGUUUGUGCUAUUUGUGAACUUUGUUGGAUACGGUUUUUUUUUUUCCCACUUUUUUUCAAACUUACUACAUAAAUUUUUAGAAAUGGGCUUACCUUUGUGAUGCAUUUUAUCUACCCCACUAAUUGUUAAUGCUGUAACAAAUGAUCAUAAUUGUGUUGCUAAGUUUGAUAUUUAUGUCUGCAGAUAUUUAGAUUAGACCCAAAAGUCAGAGGUUCAGACGUUACUGAAAAUGAAUCCCCGAGUGUGGCAAAUGAAGAGCUCUCUGGGCAGGACAAAGCUAAUAGAAUGAGAGAGCUCACCGCACUCUAUGGAACAAAGAAGUCAAAAAAACAGGUAGAAAUUGAAUACUGGAAUUCUCUCUUUAGUACUUUAGCAACCAACUUUCCCUUGGGCAUGCUUGGAAUGAAUUUUUGACUGCCCAUGUUUGGGAUUGAUUUUAAAAAGAGUUUAAAUUGUUCCGAAACACAUCAUUAAUCACAUUAUCAUAUCAUCAAAAUUGGUUUUGAACUAUGAAAAACAUGUUUUAAGAAUAGUUUUGAAAAUCACAAAAGCGAUAUAAAAUAUUUUAAAGUCACUUUCAAACAUGGACUUAGUAUCAAACAUGGACUUGUUAAUUUGUUGCAGGCACAGAAGCUGCAUGCGUUGAAACAAGAGGAUGAUCCUGAAACCAAGAGCGAUCUAGAUGGGAGAAUGAAAAAUGUGGUGGUAAACAAAGAGGCCUUGGAAGGUACGCAGGCAGAGGUUGCUCGUAAUAUACCAGCAUAUAAUGCUUCUGCAACUACUCCACAAGAAGCUUACCCGCUCGAUAAGAUUAUCCUCAAGGGAGAAUGGAGUUUUCUGGAAGAUCUUUAUUUCCGUUUGCAAGAAACAGCUGAAAUAAGUGCUACUUAUCCAUCCUUUGUUCGCAACAGAAUUUAUAAAUUGCAAGAUAUUCAGGUAUGGUGUCAAGAAGUUUCUACUUGUAAUUACCUUUAUGAAUAUUCUGAGAUUACAUAUUCAUCCUUUCUGAUACGUAUUCAUGAAUCAUGUGGAUGGCCAAUAUUAUUUGUUAAGUAUCAUGCCUCAUUUGUUGGUUGAUUGAUGUUUUCAAUCCGGAAUGCCUACGUGCCUUUUGAAACUACUUGACUUCUUUGUUUGUGUACGUUAUUUGAUUCUUUGCCUUCAUUUUUUUUUUGUGGAAAAAGAGCUUGCUCUCAAGUCUUGACAACUAACAAGCAUUUGUUAUUGAUUCAGUAUAAAUUCUUUCAGUAGGUGUACUUGUCGAUUUCUGAAACAAGUAUUAUUAUUUUUCAUUAAUUUGUAUUGAAUCUUUUUUUUUAUGUUAAAAUCAUCUUAGGACGAGGAAGAGAAAAAGAAGCUCUGCUGCAUAUUUUCAUAUAUCACUCAUCUGAUAAAGUAUAAGGAUCAGCAUUCUAUGGGUGAUGUUUCUUCUGCAAAGGGUCAUAAAAUUCCCAGCAUGCUACGCCAAAAGUUCUCAUCCAUGUUUCCGACCGCCGAGUCGAGAAGAUUGUCAGCUGAUAAAAUUAAUCUUCUCAUUAGCCACGUUUUGGUGCUUUCGCUAUUUGCGGAUGAAUUCAGCAGCGAUCCAGCAGACAUAGCAAAGGAUUUGAGAACUAGUCCUUACGAUCUAAGACUCCAUUUUGAUAAUUUGGGGUGCAAGUUUAUACGCAAGAACAACUUGUCAUUGGCUACACUUCCUAUUCCCCUUCAAUUUCCCGAGUUGAGGCAAAAGCGACGGCGAUAGGCGAGAUGGCUGGAUUGUAGAUGUUACACAUUUAUUGUUAUUGAAGAAGCUGAAUUCUUUUUAGGCAGCAAAGUUGGAGCAAUUUUGUGGAGUGAAACCGGUAAAUGGUCAUUUUUUGUAAUUCAGGUGUUAUUUCUUUCAUAUUGCAAAUGACGAUGCCGACUUGUUUCUUCUAUGAAGUACCUCUGCUUAGAAAGGUGUUACGUUAUUUGGAAGUUGAAACUUUGGAUCAUCAAAAACUAAUUUGGAAACAAGUCAAUUGACUUUUCUUUUUUCUCUUACAAAUUAUUGACGAUAGUUGAAUUUAACAUUCUCCUUCCAUGGUUUUUAUUCUCGAAAGUUGUAGGUUAAUGUUCAUUUUAUUGUUGAAAUUUCAAAAGCAACACUUUAUUCUCUCAAGUUUGAAAAAUGUUUCGAAAUGGUUGGUUCGGUUCAUUCAUUUUAUCGAUAUGUCAUAGUGUUAAUUCUAGGUUCAUUCAUUUUAUCGAUAUGUCAUAGUGUUAAUUCUAAUUUCAAAGUGAAUUGCAAGAAAGAAGAAAUUGUGUGAGAGGGAAACGAAAAAGUAAAAUGAAAACUACAUAAAAAUAAAUAUAAAGAAAACGACUAAUGAAGAAAACGACUAAUCAAGAAAACUAUUUAAAUUAAUCAUAAUUGCCUCAUCAACUUAAAUUUAUCACAUCAUAAGGAACUAUUAGAAGCCAUAAGGAACUAAUAGAAGAUAUACACUAAAAUGUUGUUUUUUUAUAGGCCAAAUAAACAUUUAUAGAUUUUUCUAAAUACAUGGAAUUUAAAAAUAAACAUAAAAUUUAAAAAUAAAGAUAGUUAAGGUAAAAAAACAUACAAUAUCGCAAAUGUAAAUAAUAUAAAUAUUAAAUAUUUAACUGCUUUAAAAACAUAAAAUAUGUAUUUAUUUAGUAAAAUCAAAAUUUCAUCCUUUUUUACGAAGUUUUUCAUUAUACAUCCACGUGGACAUGUUAUCAAAAUAUAUAUAUAUAUAUAUAUAUAUAUUCAAGAGUUUAACAUGAUAUUUUAACUUUUCAUUGAGAAUUAUUAACUCGUCAGGUUUAAUAGGAAUUAUAAAAAAAUAGCAAAAUUGAAAUUUUUUUUACCCCGAAAUAAAAAUGAAGUUUAAUAAAAUUUUGUUUUUAAGCGACCUUUUCUAAUUUUUUAAUGAAAAUUUUCAAUAUUUCUAUAUAUUUAAGAGUUCUACAUUUUUAUUAUAAGAUAUUUUAAAUUAUGAGCAUGGACAGAUUUAAAAUAUAGUAUAAAAUAUUUACAAUUUAAGCAUGAUAAAAUUUGGUCUUUUUAGUUAUUCUUUAUAUGGACUGUAAAUAAUGUAUUAUUAUUAUUAUUAUUUUGAAAGCGUAAAUUUAAAUUGGUAACUUCUUUUAAGUACUAAAUUAGAAUUAUUUUUCUAAAAAAAGAAAUGGAUAUAAUUAUAAGUUGGACUAUAUGUGGAUAUAUAUUUUUACUUAAAAGUAAAUUUAGAGUAAGUACAAAAAAGGUUUUUCCAAAAGUAGCGCUAAACUAUUAUUUUGUCAAAUAUUACAAUGUGAUAUUUAUAAUUAGAACUAAAAUAAUAUGGCCAGCGAGUUUUGGGAAAACAUAGCAUUGCAUAUUUGCAUUGGCGGGAAGACUCAACCGCUUCGCUAUCAGUUUAGAAAUUCCCCUUUACAGAGAGGUUAAGCUUCACAAUCUUCUUCAUAAACCCUAAUUUUAGCAUUCACAGAUUGGAUUUGAUGUUCUUAGCGAAUAAGAUGGUGUUCCUUUUCUUGUUUCUUCUCCCCAAAUUUAGUAAGACAAUCGUAAUCAAACCCACUCCCCACUCCCCUUUCCGCAACUUACCAUUUGUCCUCAUUUCCCCUCACCCUAUUCCAAUUCCGUCACCGGUGCCCUGUGGAGUUUUCGAGCUAUGGCGACUCCCAUGGCUGAAGAAGAAUCCUUCGAUUCCUAUUCCACCAACAAUACGGUGAUUGCGAUUAGUAGGGACAAGAACAGUCACUAUGCGGUUAAAUGGGCUGUGGAACAUUUGUUCAAUAGGAAGAACACUGGCGAAUGCGUUCUUAUUCAUGUUCGGACUCAGAGCUUGCAUCCCCGUAGGUAUCCGUCUCCCUUGUUGUUGACGUCGUUUGGCCGUCAUUAUUUCUUAAAAUUUGAAAUGUAUAUUGGUGUUUGGAGAUGAAUCAAUGAUUUCUUGUGAUCUUGCCUUUGUAUGCAGAGGAGGUGGAUACGAUUCCUAAGGAGUUUCGGCCACCAACUGAAGCUGAGUUGCACCAGUUCUUCCUUCCCUAUCGAGGAUUUUGCGCACGAAAAGGAGUAAACAAUUUCCCAAUUCUUUGUCAUAACCAAAUAAUGGAUAGUUCUUGUUUUUUUUGAUGCGAUGAUGAAUCAUUUAUGAAUUAGAUCAAAGUGUUAGCAAACACUCCUUGAAUAUUAUUAUUCUAUAAUAUUAGUUCGACAUAUAUCAAAUCAGGCACUAUGAGCAUGCCAUAUAGGACAUUGAGUUGGUUCUAGGAAACACUUCGAUUUAAUGAGGGUUAUUUCCUGCCGUAUUCAUCCAUAAAAUUCAUUUUAAGUCAGCUUGUUUAAAGGAAAUAUUUGUGUUUUUUGCAAUUUUCAGAUAGUUGCAAAGGAGAUAAUCAUCCAUGAUAUUGAUGUUCCAAAUGCACUUAUUGACCAUAUCAGUAAACACUCCAUUAGCAAUAUUGUUGUGGGUGCUUCCAACCGGAAUCCUAUUAUGAGGUUUGUCACUCUCGUUGCCUCGGUGGUACGGAAGAUUUAAUUUUAGUAGUGUAUUUAAGAAAUUAAUCUGAGCUAUUAGCAUCUGCAUUAAUGCAGGAAGCUCAAGAAUCCUGAUGUUGCAACGUGCUUACUCAAAUCAGCUCCAGAAUCAUGUUCUGUAUAUGUCAUAGCUAGAGGAAAAGUUCAUACGAAGAGGUUGAGGAAGCGAAAUAAGUCACAAACUGACAUGACAGAAACACAAACCGGAACUCCACGAAUCAGCGGGUCUUUAUCAAAAACACAAAAAUCAGCAUAUUCUAGUAUCUCUGGACAAUCUGAAGAUAAAUACAGGUAAAAAUUCAAAAUAUACAUUUUUUUGGUAUAUAGAACAUUCCACAACAUUCAUCUUUCUUAUAUAUGACAAAUUUAUUUGAUUAAACUUCUUUUUUUGCACCUUCCCUAAUUUCCUCUAUAGAUAGAAUUCUUAUCAUUAGCUGAUUGGGAUGCUGAUGCAGUGGCUCUCUGGAAUUGCAUACUUGAAAUGCAAUCCAAGACAAAGGGCUGAUGAAAUUUUCUCAGAAGUUUGAUUUCUAUGUCUUCUUUUUACUGGUUUGCUAAGACAAGCCUAAAUUUCUUUUUACGUUGCUCAUUCAGUGGUCUUUGUUUGCGUAGUCAUAGGAUAUGCAUACAGGAUUUUAAUGCUUUUCCCUCUUCAUUCUUGAUCAGUAGCUUUGGUUGCUGGCCUAGAACUGCCUUUAGAGGUGAUGGUUGUAAGUUGUAACCAUUGACUAAGAGCACUUUGUUUCAAUUGCAGGUAUAGUUCUGGCACCAGUAAUGAUUCAACGUCAGGAAUUAGUGACUUUUCGGGGCCUCUCAGUUUCAAAUCAAUUGAAACAUCCUUUGAGAACCAAGAUUUUUCCCUAAGUUCCUCAGAGACUAGUACGAGGAGCUAUGUUUCCUCUAGCACCCCAGUAAGUAAAAAUUAUUCAAUUUCUUGCCCAGCAAAGGAGCUGUCUAAUUUUGGUCAAUUAAUAGUUACAUUUAGAACAUCAUCUGUAUUUGAGUUUACAUUUGGGUGAUGAAUUUUUAUAAACUAUAUGUUAUGUAGUUAUAGAAAUGGACGAUUAACUAAAUAAGUUAGCUUAUCUGCAUUUGUAGCCUACAAUCGAAUAUGAGAUGAAAAAGUUGAGGUUUGAACUCAAAAAAAUGAUGGAAAUGUAUGACUCGGCUUGCAAGGAAGCUGCAGUAGCAAAACAGAAGGUAAGAACCGAUGACUAAAUUUUCUAUAUCAAAUGAUAUACUCGUAGUCUCAGAAGUUCUAGAUGGUACAUUGUUUGAAGCCUGUUGAUCCUGAAAGAAAAAUACUAUGUUUGAUGACUGAUAUCAGGCAAAAGAACUCCGACAUUUGAAGAUGGAAAAGGAAGAAGACAACAAAAUUGAGUGCGGUAAAUCUACUUAUGAGGCUCUAACAACAUUGGCUGAGUUUGAGAAGCAAAAGAACAAGGCUGAAGCAGAAGCAACUUUAGUGGCACAGAAGUUGGCUGAAUUAGAGACCCAGAAAAAACGAAUUAUUACUGAAGAAAAAGCUAGGAUUGAGGCAGAGGAGAGGAAGAAAACAAUGGAGUUAUUUGAACGCAGUAAUAUUUGUUAUAGACGAUUCAGCAUUGAUCAGAUCGAAGUUGCAACAGAUCAUUUUAACGAGUCAAACAAGAUUGGUGAAGGUGGCUAUGGACCUGUUUACCAAGCCUUACUUGAGCAUACUUCUGUUGCCAUUAAGAUCUUGAGACCGGAUAGAUCACAUGGGCAGCGACAAUUCCAGCAAGAGGUAAAUUUCCUUUUUCUCUGUUUAUCUUGGCUGGAAAUAAUUACACAGAAUUAUCAGCUAUGCAUAAGAUUCCUGUAAUAGUACAUCGUUUAGUUGGUUGCUACUUCGUUGUCACGAGCUGUAAUAACAUGAAACUGAAGAAGAAACAUAUAUUAUAAUAAACGACAUCAUGUAAAAUUUCACCCAUUUCAUACAUUCAGAAAGUUCCUGAAGGUUCGCUGUUUGUUGUUUGCAGAUCGAGGUUCUAAGCCGGAUGAGGCAUCCAAACAUGGUCCUCCUCUUAGGUGCCUGCCCAGAAUACGGUUGCCUUGUUUAUGAAUAUAUGGAAAAUGGGAGUUUGGAAGAUCGUCUCUUCCGAAAAGAUAACACUCCUCCAAUCCCUUGGAGAAUCCGCUUCAGGAUAGCUUGUGACAUUGCCACUGCCCUACUCUUCCUUCAUCAAAUGAAGCCAGAACCUGUGGUGCAUCGUGAUCUUAAGCCAGCCAACAUUCUCUUAGAUCACAACUAUGUGAGCAAAAUAGGUGACGUGGGUUUGGCCAGGCUAGUUCCACCGACGGUUGCUGAUAGUGUCACUCAAUAUCACAUGACUGCUGCAGCUGGAACCUUUUGUUACAUUGAUCCAGAAUAUCAACAAACAGGAAUGUUGGGUGUGAAAUCAGAUAUUUACUCAUUUGGUGUUCUUCUACUUCAGCUCAUCACUGCAAGGUCACCGAUGGGUCUUUCAUAUCAGGUCGAGGAGGCUAUUGAACAUGGCAAAUUUCCAGAGAUACUUGAUCCGACAAUAACAGAUUGGCCUAUUGAAGAUACUCUUGGACUUGCUCAAUUAGCCCUCAAGUGCUGUGAGCUAAGAAAAAGAGACAGGCCCGACCUUUGUACGGUUCUAAUGCCAGAACUGUCCAGGUUAAAAAAUCUGGGGUCGGGUGAAACACCACCGAAGAGCAAGCUCGCAACUGUCAGCAGAGCACAUGAUCAACAAGUCCUUAACUCGGCUCCAGUCUUGAAGGGAUCAGAAGGCGAGGUUAGUUUUCACUUAGCAUCUUAGUCCCUAAAUCAAAACUGCAAAUUGUUUGUUAAUGUGUAGAGUUUUAAAAAAAAGAGAAAAAAGGAAGUAUCAUCAUGAAAUGGAGAUGGGAAAUUGCAUGUUUAAAAUGUCAUGCUAAAGCUUGUGUGAAAAAGGUUGAACAAAAAAGUUUGGACAAUAUUUAUUGUUACCAGGCUUGGAACUUUUUUUACACAGGAGAAAAACCUUUGCAUUUAUAUGUGUUGCUUAUUAUGUAUAAUCAGGAAGGAAUGAGAAACAAUCCUAACCUGCCAAUGGAAAUUCAACGUAGAUCUAUGUGAGAAAAAGAUGGGAGCGAUUGAAAGUGAGUACGAGAUUUUGGAGCCAAAAGGGUGGUAUCGGUUUGAAUACCAUUUCUUCACAGAUAAAGAAAAAAUGGAGCAUACCAAGUAUACCAAUCAGUGGAAAACGAGUUGAUGGAUCGAAGAAGAAGCAGCAACCGCAGCAAAUCUCUGAACGUUGUUGGUCUUUUGGAAGUUGUGCUUCUGCUGCUACGUUGGGGUUCAAGAAACUGCAGUCUUUUUCAUAAUAAACAUGAGAUUUUUUCAACUUGUACUGUCUAAAUUUCAUUCUUGUUUUAGUAUUUGGGUUCUAUCUCACAAUCAUCUAAUCUCACUUGUGAAUGUCUGCAAAUUAAAUAUGGUGUUUGUUCUCACACACCCUUUUCCUUUCUCAAAAACUCAUUUGUAACUGUAUUUCAUUUCUUUACACUUGGGUUUUAUUCUAUUCAUUAUAAAUCAGCGGUCUUUCUAUUUCACAGAUGAAUCAAUUUUCAGGCUUAUUUGUUUCUUUCUUUUUCUUUUUAGUCUCUCUAGUUUUCUUUUAGUCGAUUUUGAUUGUAUCACAUUUGAACAAAAUAUGUCUUGGCCGCUAAUAUAUACUCAAUGACAGUUGAGUUAUGGUGGUUAGUUUAUCACGAAGAUACACAAUUUGAGGCAAGAACAUGACUAAAGAUAGUCGUACAUGUUAUCUAGGACGCUUAAAUCUCAGUCUUCUCUUAUUUAGUUUAGAGAUGACAACGUGUAAAUGACUCAUUUAUUAUUAUUAUUAUGCUUUGACUUGGAUGAUAAUGGUGCUAAAGAUUAUGUCAAUUUAAUGGGAAUAUUCAUGUGCACCUAUUAAUUUCUUACCAUUGGAUAAUUAAUUUUGUUGAAAAUAGCUAACAUUUUAAAAACAUGUUCCAAUGGCAAAAGUAAAUGAAUAUUAGGUCUCAUAACUAUGUGUAUUUAAACGAAAAAUAUAACAAACAUGUUAAAUAUUUAUAUUGUAUAAAAUAUUUUUUUAAACAUAAAAAAGUAUCAAAACUACUCCAAGUAACAUGCUAUACAUCGACCACAUGUGCGCGAUACACAAUAGCGUAGAGUGAUCGUGAUUUUGAUACACGAUCUCGGACAUACCCUGUCCCGAGAUAUUCCGAGAUGAAAGAAUUAUUCGUUUUGUUAUUAUAUCUCAGACCUUAAUGGCAUCGAGAUAGAAUAAUUUUUAUUUUAUUUUAUUCGAUCUCAGACCUACAUUGUCAUGAGAUAAAAUAUUUAUGUUUUUAGUUAUUCGAUAUCAAACUUUAAUUGCAUUUAGAUGGUUCAAGAUGAAAGAGCUCUACGUUUAUUUUAUUCAUCGCCCAUACAUUGCCCUUAAGAUUAAUUGCACUAAAAUAAUUUGAGAUUAAUAAAUCUCAACGAAGCUAUAAAUCGAAGGAGCAAAUAUGAAAUAUACGAAAAAAAUAAUUCUUUUUUUGUUAUAUCUAUGGUAAAUAUUUUGAGUUUUCAUUAUAUUUAUAUAAAUUGUUCUUUCAAAAAAUUAUUUUUAUUCUUAAAAAUUUGGCUGAGAUAUAUUUUUUUUAUUAUUUACUUAAAAGAAAGAGGGAAAGACUUGUAAAAAAUUGAAAAUGAAUAAACUUAAUUUUCCAAAAUCAAAACAGAAACCAAGAGGAUAACCAUUUUGUUUCGUUGGCUUAAAGCAUUACGUGAGACUAAAUUAAUCUGCGGCCUUACAAAACCGACUUUGUAGCUUACGUGUUUCGGUUCGGCUAAGUUGAGCCGCCCUAUAAGUAUGGUUUAACUCGGUCAACCGGAGAUACCAGAGACUGCUUGAAAGGUAAAAUCCGAACCGGCAAUCCGGUUUACCGGGCUAUGUACUGAACCGAGAAUCGGCGCGAUUCUUUUCCCGCAUAAAAUAGUGAGAAUCGCAUUUCUUAAGAAUCUCUCUCUCCGCUUCAAUUCUUUCUCUCUCUUGGAGAGAAUUGAGCGUAACCCUAAGCUUAGAACUCAAAUCAACCAUGGCGGUCCAUUCUUCCAAUCGCGAUACUGAUUCAGAGUUUGAUCAUAGCUCAUCCCAACCGCGUCUUUACAAUCCCUACAAGGAUCUCCAGGUUCCAUAUCGAAACUUCCAGCUUCCAACCUCCCCAGAGUUUCUUUUCGAUGAAGAAGCUCGCCGCCAGCGUCGAUCUUGGGGCGAGAAUCUCACCUUCUACACUGGUUGCGGUUACCUCGCCGGUGCAGUAGGAGGCGCGUCUACAGGACUUGUAUCCGGCGUUAAAUCUUUUGAAUCAGGUGAUACUAUGAAACUCCGGAUCAAUCGGAUCCUGAACUCGUCUGGUCAUUCGGGGCGUCUCUGGGGAAAUCGGCUUGGCGUGAUUGGGCUGCUAUAUGCGGGUUUGGAGAGCGGAAUUGAGGCUGUGAGGGAUACGGACGAUGUGUGGAACUGUGUUGCGGCCGGACUUGGUACUGGUGCGCUUUAUCGUGCAGCAAGAGGGGUAAGAUCGGCGGCGGUGGCUGGAGCUGUUGGCGGUGUCGUGGUUGGUUUGGCGGUGACGGGUAAGCAGAUGUUGAAGCGGUAUGUGCCGAUAUGAUGUGGGGAAAAGGAAUGUUUUUUUUUUUUGCAAUUUUGAUCGAUAUACUUCGUUUUAGGGAGUCAUAGUUUUAUAUGUGAAACUGUGAUGAGAAUGCUGAGGAUUGAAUUAACUAAUUCACUUGAUAUUUUCUAUACGAGUUUAACUCGUGCUUCUUCUUUGAGUGAUGUAAUUCGUCGAGUUCUCUGAUAAUGAAUAAUCUUCAAGAAUUUAGACUUGUGGUAUGGGAAUGAUCAAAUUAUUUCCAUUACUUCUGAUGAUUUGGUUGUAAGUAAUGAGAUUGUUUGAGGUUUGUUCGUUGUCGUAUCUCAUCAAUUAGUAACUUAUUGUUUGGCUGCUUCAAUAUAUAAUUUUCAAGUUUUUGAGAACAGAACACAGAUCCACGUUUGAUGCUUUCAUGGCUUGAUGGAGUACACAAGAUUUGUGAUUCCGUGGUCAAUGCUUGUCGAUAAUGGUGAAUUUUGUAGAAAAUUAUAAUGCCCCUUUUGAGCUUAGGUAUUCGGAUAGUCUUAUACGCCCUGUAUGAGCAAAUGAAUUCAACUUUAAUCUCUUAUCUGUUCACAUUCUAAUGGUGUUAAUAUGUGAGACUAUUCAAGGUUGUAACUUUUACCUAGCCAAAUCGCUGGUCAUCCUUGAUUCACCCGUUCCAAUCCUUUUGUUGUAGAGAACUUUUACCUUGCUUAUUCUUGACCAUUGUUUGAUCAUUAAACCAAAGCUCUUCAAAUGAAAUAUGUUUUGUUCUUCCAAGUUAACUUGAAAUCUUUGAUCGGAAUUUAGUUCAUCUUUGCAAAAGUUAGGCAUGUUUUUUGAUUUCAAUGAGAGGUGGUGGUAUUUUGAGCAGGGUCGUUUUGAAUGAUUAUGGUAUCUCUUGAGUGUGUUGCUAGUAGUUGGUUUAGUUACAAAUGAAAUGGUGUCUCUGCAGAGUAUAGAGUCUUGUGCUAUCUUGAUUUCUAUUACAAUAAAAGUCUUGGUAAAUGCCCCUUCAAAAAUGAUAUUGCACAUUGAUUGAACUCGGAAAAUUGCCAAAUAGGAAAAGUAUGCUUUAAAGCUCUCCGUACGCUACCCUUGAUUCUUUCAGCACUUGGUGCAUCAACAUCAUGAUCCUCGCAGGUGCAUUGCUUUUAUCGUUUCUCGUAGAUAUUUUACAUCAAGUUUAACUGUUUUUCGUUUUAGCAACAUUAACAGUUACAGGCAGUAAAUGAACUGGCAGGUCCUCCCGAAUUCCUACUCCACAAAUGUUCUCAUUGAGGCACAUUCUUUGUCUUCAUCAACCUGGUGGGAUAUUCUUCUUUAUCAUCCCAAGUGAAGCUAUAGAAAUGAUUGUCAUUGUAACAAAAAUUUCAUUGGAUUUGACUGGAUUUUGACAUAUGAACUACAGACAGUUUGGUAGCAAGUUGAGUAGAGGCAUUCAAUGUGACAAAAGGCAAAAUCAACUGUUUGCUGAGGUAUGUAAAAGGUUUCAAUGAGAUGUAAUAGCUUCUCCUCUGUUCAUAAAGCUCCAUUUAAAUCAUUUGAAGUUGAAGCUAUUCCUUUCCAUCGACCUUUUAAUCAAUCUUACAAGAUGGUUGAUUAAAAAAGAAAAUAAUGAUAUUUUAUAUCAGAAAGCACCCACCUGAAUUUUGAACACAGAAGAACCUUUGUAAGUUUUUAAGUAUGUUCUGUUCUACCACUUUUUUAAUUUAUGAACUUUCAAGUUUACUCUAUUGUAAACUUUCAAAAUGUCCAAAACGUCCAUAGUAAUUCUUGUAUUUUAGAGGUUGUUCCAUUUUAGUCUUUACUUCUGUUCUAGUUUUAACGGAUUAAUGACAAAGCUUUGAUUAUGCAUACUAACAUAUUUUGUUUCUUGCACUACAACGUUUGGUUGUCAAAGAAAUUUAUAGAAAAUUAAUUCAUAGAUAGUUGGUCACCGUAGAUUGAACUCAUAAUUUUUUCGUAAGUUCAUUUGAGUGUACUAACGUGUUAAUAUGAACAUUAACACGUAAAAUAACAUAAAUCAACUAAAAAGUUGAAAGAUUAUAAUAUACAUAAAAUUUUCGACCUAGCACCUCCUUUGGUGAGGAAAUUGAAAUUAGCUAUAGUAAAUAAUUCUACUUUAUAUUGUUGUUUUUGUUUAGGCACAAUUUUAAUAGCUAACAAAAUAUUGCCAAGAAUGGUGGCUACAAAAUAAUUAAUUAAUUAUGUUUUUAGUAAUAUUUAUAUUAAGUUUACAAUCAAAAGUUGAAAGAAUUUGGAUUAUAUUUUAUUUAAAUAAAUCAAACAAUUGAAUACUAAUUCACUUCAGAUAAUACAAGUUUUAUGUGUCCAUAACCUAAUGGGUGCUUAGAAUAUCUUUGAGAACAUAAUUGCAUUCCAAGUUUCGUUUUGUUGAGUUCUAACACACAUCAGGAAAAAAGAUGCAAUGAAUUAUACAUUAAAACUUAAAAAGUUAAAUUUAUUUAUAUUUCACAUAGCUGCUACUAUCAUAGAUUGUCCAACAAGUAAGAAAAAUCACAAUCAAAGUGAAAAGAACACACAAUCAAAAGGGAAAGUAUUUAGUGGAUGAUGACUAUUUACUUUAGAUUUAAGAAAUCUAAAUAAAUCUAAAAAAUGUUGAGAGAGAAUUUUUAUUUACUAGAAGUAAAAUUGGUUUAAUGUUUAUAUAAAAGAAUUUACAUAGUUAAAAAGAAGAGAAAAGAGAGAGAGAGAGAGAGAGAAGUACAUGCAAGAGAUUUGAUUUGGAAGGAGCACAUAAUAGGACAAGAGAAGGGUAAUUUCGGAAUUUGGCUCAAUUAUUCUUAGUCUAAGGGUUACACUACAAAAACCUAACAGCCUUCACAAAAAUUUCCCUCUUUCGCUCGCUGCGCUUUGCCCAAACACUCGCCUCCAACUCCACGGAUCAGAUCCGAAGAGUUUGGCAAACCCUAGCUUCCUCUCUUCAAUCUUCAUCUCUACCUUCUCUAACAAUCCACAGGUUUGUUUUCCCUUCCUUUCUCUUUCGAUUUUGCCUUCCACUUCUACUUAUUCAACUCCACGAAUAUGGUUGUAUGUACGUUUCCGCCUUCUUUUCAUAUCCCUUUUCUUGUUCCUUUAGCCUUGAACUACUCUGGGUUUUCUUUUUCUUGUUUCUUUUUUCUUUUAUUAUAUCUCAGGAUUUGACGCUAAUCUGGUCUGUGGUUGUGGGUUGAGUUCGUUUUUAUUCAUUUCUUGUUUGUUUGUUUAUGGCUAUGGUUUGUAAUUGUUUCUGUAAUCUACGUGAAUCUGUUUUUGCUUUAGAACGUUCUUGUUGUUCAACUCGUACAUGAAUCGUUGUCUACGCUUGGUUUGGGUUUUGUGGUUUUUUUUUUUUUCUUUCGAUAGUAUCUUGCUUUGGGAAAAGGUUAAUGCGGUGUCUGUUUUUUUUUUUCUGAGAGAAAAAGUUAUUAGAUAUCGUUUAAGUCCUUUUCCUACAUUGAGACAGAAGUUUAAUGCUUGUUCUCCUCUUUAUAUGGAUUGCAAGUUUGGCUUUUCUGUUACAGAUUUCCUUUCUCAGGAUAGCUUUUAACAAAUUUGUAAUGUUGUUCUAUUUAUUCCUUGGUGGGGUUGAUUAAAUGGUAAUGAUUUUUUGUUUGUUGGCGGCAUAGUUUUGGAUAUUUUUAUCUGUUUGGUCUGUGUUCAUAUUUUGCAUUGUUUUCCACUUACAGCUAUGGCAGGUUUAGCUCCAGAAGGAACCCAAUUUGAUUCUCGCCAAUACGAUGCUAAAAUGAAUGAGAUGUAAAGAUUUUUCUCUUAUUUCCCUUGUUUAUAUUUUUCCAUUGCGAUAUUUCCCUGCUUCAUGUUUGUGGACUUAUUCAGUUCUAUUUUCUUUCUCGAUGCAGUCUUUCAGCCGAAGGGCAGGAAUUUUUUACCUCAUACGAUGAAGUUUAUGAAAGUUUUGAUUCGAUGGGGCUGCAAGAGAACCUCCUCAGAGGCAUUUAUGCCUAUGGUAGAUACUUAUUUGCUUCAUUUUUUUUUUCUCUAUCAAUUAUGACUCUCUUUGGCCCAAAAUAUUUUUUUGUAGUUCCGUAUAUAAUUCCUGGAGUUUUCCUAAUUCUUUAAGGUUUUGAGAAACCUUCUGCAAUUCAGCAAAGAGGUAUAGUUCCCUUCUGCAAGGGCCUCGAUGUGAUUCAGCAGGCUCAAUCUGGAACUGGAAAAACUGCAACUUUCUGCUCUGGGAUACUUCAGCAACUUGAUUAUGGUCUAGUCCAGUGCCAGGCAUUAGUUUUGGCACCGACUAGGGAGCUGGCUCAACAAAUUGAGAAGGUUAUGAGAGCUCUUGGAGAUUAUCUUGGAGUUAAGGUUCAUGCUUGCGUGGGAGGGACAAGUGUCCGUGAGGAUCAACGCAUUCUUCAAGCUGGUGUUCAUGUAGUAGUUGGAACACCUGGUCGUGUGUUUGACAUGUUGAGGAGGCAGUCUCUUCGCCCAGAUUGUAUUAAGAUGUUUGUAUUGGAUGAAGCUGAUGAAAUGCUUUCUCGAGGUUUCAAAGACCAGGUGAAUUUCUCAUCUUGUUGCAAGCAUGUUAUUGAUGAACUAGCACUUUCAUAAUGAAUGUGUUUAAGUAGGCAGGAAAUCAGACAUGAAUAUUGUAUUAUUAGGUUCAUCAGUGCUGAAUUCGUUUCUUGUGCCUGCUGAAAGUCAGAUUCCUUAGCCUUGCUGCACGUUGGUAUUUUGUUCUAUUCAUUUAUCAUAGAAUUAAAGAUUUUUAAUUGUGUUCUAUGUUUUUUGUGUGGUGGUAGAUCUAUGAUAUUUUCCAGCUGUUGCCAUCAAAAAUUCAAGUUGGGGUAUUCUCAGCCACAAUGCCUCCGGAAGCUUUGGAGAUCACUAGGAAAUUCAUGAACAAGCCUGUCAGAAUCUUGGUAAAACGUGAUGAGCUUACUUUGGAAGGUAUCAAACAAUUUUACGUAAAUGUUGAUAAGGAAGAUUGGAAGCUUGAAACUCUAUGUGAUCUGUACGAGACUCUGGCUAUCACUCAAAGUGUCAUCUUUGUUAACACACGUCGCAAGGUUGAUUGGCUUACGGACAAGAUGAGAAGCCGUGAUCAUACCGUAUCGGCCACUCAUGGUGACAUGGACCAGAACACUCGUGAUAUAAUCAUGCGUGAAUUUCGUUCUGGGUCGUCUCGUGUUCUUAUCACAACUGACUUGUUAGCUCGUGGUAUCGAUGUUCAGCAAGUGUCCCUUGUCAUAAAUUAUGAUUUGCCGACCCAACCUGAAAAUUACCUCCAUCGAAUUGGUCGAAGUGGGCGUUUUGGAAGAAAGGGUGUUGCCAUCAAUUUUGUUACAAAUGAUGAUGAGAGAAUGCUUUUUGAUAUUCAGAAGUUCUAUAAUGUGGUCAUUGAGGAGCUGCCAGCCAAUGUUGCAGAUCUCCUAUGAUGAGGUUUUUGUUUGUUUUUGUUUUUGUUUUUGUUUAUAGGGAUGGGAUUUCUCUCUUAUCUCUGAAUGACACUCUUUAGCCUCCCCCCACUUGAACUUCUCUAUUUUUAUCUUCACUUUGUUUUCAUAUAUUAGUAUUGUCAAACUGACAUUUUGUUAAUGAUUUAUUUCCUGCUUUCUGUGCAAAGAUUGAGAUUGUGUCAAGUUUUGUUGCGUUUGAUCUUUGUAAAUCUUUAUAUUUCUUUAUUCUUUCUGAGGAAGAAGAUGCCUUCUGCUGUUUAUCCAAUACAGUUCCACUUGAUAAGAAUGGUGCUUUUAAUUUUAUUAUUAAAGUCAAUUAGUGGAUGAAUACUAUCCACUAGUAAACAACCUCGUGAUAACUACUAUUUUGAUAUCUUUUAUUUAUUUAUUUACAUGUGAUCUUGGUGUCUAAAGAGAUUCUUUUCUGUUUACUUUUUUUUCAUGACAGUGGUCAUUAUUCAUUUUAAUUUAUUCUAUCACAAAUCGUUGUUUAUUUUCUAUUAAACAUGGUUCAAGCUAACUUUAAAUUCAAAUGAUAAAACAAUUAUCCAAUUAUUGAAGUCGUGACAUUUUGGUAAUUCUAAAAUAUUUAGAUUCACUUUGUUCAUUCUCACAAUUACUCUACGUUUUUACAAUCUACAUGUUUGCGAAUAUCUUUAUAAAACUUGUUCUUAUCUUUUUCUUUCCAAGCAUCUUUCUAUGUCUUUUUUCUCACCUAUUUCAAAGAAGGUAAAAUUCAAGAUAUUUGAAGAUUUAAACAUCUUUAUUUCCUAAAAACAAAUUUGCUUGUAACAUACUACAGAUGUAUGUAGAAGUAAUCGUAACAUUAAAUUUACCUAUUAUCAAUUCGUUUUCCAUUAUGUUUCUUCUUCUUACCACCAUCAGAGGGUAAUGAUAAUUUGUUCGACCAAUCUAUUAGCAAAUGCACUCAUCUCCAGGGUAAGUCAUUUUCUAGGAAGCUAUAGGUUGAGUUUGAAACUAUGAUAAAGUGACACUUGUACUCCCUUCAAACAAGAACCUUAUACGCACCAUUAGUCAUUAAGCUUCAUCACAUAAACUCUGAUUUAUUUCACAUAACCAUUGAAGGGUGUUAGGAGUACUACACCAGCACACAACUGAUUUCUUGUAUGUACCUCCAAGUCACCUCUUUCUCUUUCAUCUUUGUUAGUCAUGAAUAACUUCGUCCUUUUAGCGAAGACAUAGACAACUUUCCAACCAAAAAUCUUAAUAUGAUAGUCUACUCACUAGGACUGUCUCCACAUUCCUUCACCAAUCAAACUUUAGCAGAAUGUCCUCCCAAGAACUCGUUACUAUAUUGAAGCCAAUACUCUUUUAUUUACUCCUUUAGGGGCCACCAUAAUUGAUGGCCAAAACCUUGGAUCAUUCAUCAAUUGGAAUGUGUUACCAAAGCCAGCCAAUGCCUAAGCUUAAUGGACCAUCUCACUUCACUGGCUUUAAAUGAAUGAACUAAAUGAAAGGUUGUGCUAUUGGGGCCCUCUACCUUUAUCAAAGAAGAAAGGAGAACUAUCAAUUCAAUUGAAGAGAGAAUACAGCUGCAACUAGCUAAGAAUUGAGGGCCAUUGGAUCAACUUUAUUGUACUCUAUACUCUAAAGACUACAAUAAUAGAAAUAGAUGGUGAGAUUGAUACCUUAAAAACCCCUCCACCAUUUGAUGGGCAGUUAGACCCACUUCACUCCACCAAUCAAUGAACAAGCAGUAUGAAUUUUCUUUUGUUUUUGUUUCAACUUUCUAAUUUUUCUUCCCAGACAUUCAAUUUUUCUGACAAUUUACUUUUCUACGUUGACAUUCAAUUCCAUUUCCAAUACGCAAAGUUGUCGUGACAAAUUGACACAAAAUAGAACUUACUAGAUCAAGAAAAUUUUCGUCAUAUAUUUUAUCAGUAUAGUUGAGAGAACUUUUAGCACCAUACCAAUGUGCAACUUUUUUCUUUUAACUACGAUAAAGUCAAUUGUAAUGUUUCUCUUUCUUUUUCCUUCUCGUUAGUUAUGAAUCACCUUGUUGUUGAGAGAGUUAAACAAUAAAAAAUUGUAACACGGUAAGUAAUCUAUUUUUCAAAAGACUAAACAUUCUCAUUUUCUAUUAAGUAAUCUAUUAAGUCGUGAUAAAAUCAGACAAAGAUAAAACUUACAAGGUUAGUAUGUAGUAACUACAGGAAAACUUACUUCUUUACAUUUACAUUGUGAUUUUCACGUCAUUUUAAAAUGUUUGUUUAUGAGGGAGGAGCUGUUGGAGCCACUCACUUUCAUGGGGAUGUUGACUUGAUGGAAAGGGUACUUUGUGAGCCUCGGUUGAAGUGUUUGUUAUUCAUUUAAAUAACAAGUGUGACAUUAUGACCUAUUCCACGUGCCAAAGAGUCAACAUUUUGCAGCUCAUGCAAUUCCCUCAACUGAAGACAAUUUGAAAUGGCAAUCCCUAAAUUUAUUACUAAAGGUCUGGAUCUUGAACUGCUCCAAUCUAGAGAGAAACUUCAAUAUUACUUAUAAAUACACAUUACCCUCAUCUAAAACCAGCAUAAAAAGCACACCCCAAAAGUCUUUUUUUCCUUUUUCCUUUUUCCUAUUUCCAAUUUAGUAUCUUUGAAGUUUGAGUAAUGGAGGAUUUCAGAUCCAAAUCUUGCAGAGAAGAGAGAAUGCAGAUUGAGCGUUACAAUGAGAAUAGGAUUGCCCCAACAAACAUGCAAGAUCUAAGGUCUUACAGUGUGAGCUAUGCAAGUUCUGUUCAGCAAAAUCAAUCAAACAAAGAGGUAAAGAUGAAGAAAGGCAAAAGCAAUAUGGGGUCAACCUCUAAAAGCUGGAGUUUUAAGGAUCCAGAAUUGCAAAGAAAGACGAGGGUCGCUGGAUAUAAGGUUUAUGCAGUGGAAGGGAAGAUGAAAGGGUCUUUGAGAAAGAGUUUUAGAUGGAUCAAGAACACUUACACUCAAGUAGUGUAUGGAUGGAGGUGAUGAUUUAUUAUAGAAAUUUGUUGUGUAAGUUUCUGUUUUGAAUCUUGAAUUUCCUGAAUAUUGUAAACUAUAUGAAUCUUGAUCUUCUUGUUCUUCAAGUUGGUGAGAAGAAAGAAAAAAGAAAAUGAAAGUUUGAGUUUUGAAUAUGCUUUUUGUUUUUUUUCUCAGAUUCCAUUGAGUUUAUCAUUGUAACUAUGUUAUCAGUAAGGUCGGUUUACUCUGUUUUUCCUUUUGAUAUCUAUAAAUCUCAAUAGACAGAACAAAAAAGGCCUUGAAAGUUGGGGCAUAGAAUGAGAGUUUGUAAUGAUCAAAACCAGUUUGAAUUGAGCGCCCUAAGUGGAUUUACUCUUUUCCACCGUUUUCAAGAUUCGCGAUUCAUGUUUCUGUUUGCCCUCGAUGUCAUGCUCAUUCCAACGCCAUUGACUUCUGUAAUUGUUUUCUGUUCAAAAUUUGAUGUAAAUGGGAAAAGUGAAAACUGGGCUCUGUUUGAAAUGAUAUUUUUCUUCACAAAAUCAAUGUUUUCUGAUCUUUUUCUGCAUAGUGAAAGAGAGAGAGAUGACAAAGAAGUUGCUUUCUCUCUCCUCUCCUUCUACCGACACCAAACAAGAAUGGAAGAGUAAGAAGGUGGAAUGAAUGAUUCAGUCAAGAAUUGGGAGACAGUUUCACAUGACAAUUAUUGUUCUCAUGUUCCAACCUAAUAAAUCAGGCAUUGAAAAUUAUUUAGGCUCUCGAGUCGGUGUAAAACAGAAUAAAUCUUCAGCUGCAGAUGAUGGGGAUGCCGCCUGUAUUAUCCCAAUCCGAAACUAGUUCACCGUUUUAAAGCUAAGUCAGAGCGAAAGAUCCGGCUGAAAUUAAUGAAACUAUGUAUAGUUUAUUAAUCAUAUGGAAUCAGGAUUGAGCCGAUCAAAUUUGACAGUAAAACAAAUGGUCAUAUCAUCAGUGAAUAGUGAAUGUUGAAUAUAUAGAAGAAAAUAUAAAUCAUAUAUAAAUUUCAGAUGAUUAGAGUGAAUGAAACAGAGUUGAAUGGGGUGACAUAGUCAGUGUUUUUGAAUCUCUGAAUAUGAAUAAAGGGGAUAUACAAACAAACAAAGUGGGGGAAAAGAAUGGGAACAGCAACAAGCUUUUAGGGUAUCAGCUAUUCUACAAGCUCUUAACAUUUCAAAUUCUUUUUUAAGUUAUGAUACAUACAUAAGCUCCGGAUUCACAUUCUUUCUUGUUAUAACCAAUGGGGGGGUGGCAAUAACCCAUUUUCCAUAACAGGAAAAAAAAAUUCAAAAUAAAAGAAAAAGAUUCAAAUGGGCCGGAAACUCUAGAAAAAAAAUUCCAAAAAUUUUGAAGAUUUAGGGUGGAGAUAUUUUCAUGAUAUAGCAGUAGUAGUAGCAUUCGGAGGCAUGCCAAGGGAAGAGUGCUUCUUUUGCAGCCUUCCUUUUAACUGUCUGAUCUUUGCUUCUACUCUGGCUGUGAAUCCUAUCUUUGUCUUUUGCCUUGCUUUUGAUCUUUCCCUGGUCCACAUGUGCGUAUCUUCAACAUCCUUUCUGUAGUACUUGAUUUCUUGGAUAAUGUGAUGAUCCAUUGGAUGGAAGCUUCUCUGGAAGGAUAUGUGAGCAAGAUACGGGAGAUUACAGGUAAUCGUUACUAAAAUUGUGGCUAUCCAAUAAACAGGGGCAGGUCCUAGAGCUUCGACAAAGAUUUUAUACGCAUUCCCAGAGGAUAUAAUCAUUCCAUAGAGUAAGAUGAACAAAUACCACAUCGCAAUGCUACCCCAGACGAGAAGGUGUUGGAUCCAGGUGAAAUGGCUCAUUGUGAGAGCAAUCUGGCAAUUUACUGCCCAUAUGAUGCAAGUAAACAUGGUGGUUCCUACAGCAGUCAUAUCUGCAGUUUGGCCGCCCGAACGGAAGGCCUGGUCAUAGAAGAUGAUGAGAUUGAGAAAGAAAGUAACUAGAGAUGAGUAGAGAGCAUUCCCCAUCCAUCCGAAAAUUCGAGGCCAGUCAAAGAACAAGUUUCGAGGUCCUUGCUGAUAUAGUGCAGGGAACUGCAAAAUGUACGAUGGUUGGUUAGCAUAUGAACUUGGAACACAAAUCAGUUCGCUUAUUUACAUUCAAUGCUGCCUGUCUUUACCUGUAGGCACACCUCAGAAGGGACAUCUUGCUCAAAUACACCAAGGGAAAUUACAGGCAAUGAGGUGAGUAUGACAUUAAAUGAUAGCAUGUAGAAAUCAUCAUAAAUUGAUUGCCCAGAAAAUCCAGCAUAUGCUUCGAAGUAGAAUAGCGUUAAUCCAAAUGCAAUAUUCUUAUAGAAGAAAUAGCAAAUCUGGAAAAUGAAAAUAACCAUUGUUAGAUCAAAGUUAAAUUAAGAACGUACUACUGAUAAUUCAUAACUGGUUCAUUGACCUUGGCUUCAUUGAAGCAAAAUUUGGCAAACAUGACAGAACAUAGAAACAUAGUCUAACUUUACCAUUUGUGCUAUCCUCUUGUAGCACCAAUGACCAUGGACUACCAGAAGCCUUUCAAGAAACCGAAAUUGAGCUAUAGAGAAAUCACUAGCCAUCACAGCCUGAAAGCAUAAGGGGUUAAAAAAGAGGGGUAGAGAUUUAUUUAAUAGACAAGGUUUAGAAAGGAGAGUCAUUUGUGCGUACCUGCAUACCUUCAACCCCACUGAUACCGACACCAAUAUCGGCCUCUUGAAUCAUUCCUACAUCGUUUGCACCAUCGCCAAUUGCUAAAGUAGUUUUCCCAGUACCUUCUUUCACUAACCUUGUUACCUACAGAAACGGAAGCAAAACCAGUUUACUACUAAAUCGUCCAUUCAAUGAACAGCUUGAGUAUGAUAUAUGAACAGUUGAUAGUAUACAAGGUGGUUAGCCCUAAAAUGAGAAUGGACGUCCUACCAGUGCCUUCUGCUUGGGGGAGACACGGCAGCAAAUGACCGAUGCACAAUCAACAGCGAGUCCAAGGAAUUGAAGCUUCAUAUCAUCCUCAAGGGCGUAUGUUAAAGUCUUCCCAUCAAUGAUUAAAGCAAAUGCAGCAUGUGGAUCAUUUUCCAGCUUGAUCAUUUGUGCGGCAUUGGUGAUUUGAUUCAAAAUAUUUUCUUUCAUGGCCUGGGGUGUAACAAAAAACAAAAAAUCCUAAUUCGUAUGAAAUCAAUUUCCUGUAGCUAGUUUCCUGUGCUCUCUCUCAAAGUAUCAAAUACCUCUUUCCCAUCCUGUGCUAAGGAGUCUGAGGUUGUUGAUAUGCAGAUCCGCUUCAUUCCCUGUCGUAGUAAACUGCAUGCAUAUCUGAAGACAGAAACAAUUUCUUUUAACACAGGAAUAUAUAUUUUUCAACAUGGCAUAUAAGCUGUAAGAAAUGGCUUCAAUCAAUUAGCAAGACCGACCCUAUGUUGAUAGCAGUUUCCAUCUUAUCUCCUGUCAGAACCCAGAUCUUAAGACCAGCUUGUGCAAGUUUGUCUAUACAUUGAGGCACCUAGAGCAACCAAAAACAUAAUACUAGGUUAAACAAAACAAACCAGAGUGAUAACAGACAAUAAUGGUUCUAGAUAAAUAGAUAUUAUUCUCACCCCAUUCUGUAACUUGUCCUCCACAGCAGUAGCACCAACAAGGAUUAAUUCUCGCUCCAUGAGAUCGGAUACUCGCUCAAGCAUUGCAUCUCUAUCUCCUCCGAUUGACGUCUUAGCCUUCUGAAACUCAUUGUUCCAAGCAUUAUAUUCAGCUUCCUCGAGCUUCCUAUAAGCAAGUGCCAGAGUUCGUAGCCCUGCUUCUCCAUAUUCAUUCAAAUGCCUUGUGGUUGCUUCCUCAUACAUUCUUCCAUUCUUUGAUAGUCGAUCAAAGAUGAUGCUGCAUGAUUGGAAUGCAAGAGAUUCAGAAUGAAGAAAAGUGUUUCUCGUCCAUAAAAAAGGAAAAAGAAAAGUGCAGUUUGUUAGCCAGUCUUCCAAAGACAACCUGGGCUUUUUCUCACACGCUAACUUGCAAGAAGUAGCUGAUAUCUCUAUAAAAUUCUAAAAAAUUAUCCGUACGAGCCUCUACUGAUGAGACUCACCUAUCGGCACCUUUGCAGAGAAGAAGAAUCUGGCCCUCCUCGUCCUUAAUAAUUACAGACAUUCUCUUUCUCUUGCUUGUGAAAUCCAAUAGAUUCAAAAUUUUGUAUUCCCUGUACAGAUUCCCAAGACACAUCAGCAAUGCAUGACACAGAAAAUUCAUGGAAAGAUAGACCUGAGCGACAUAAAGUUAAUCUUACCUUUCAACUACUUGGUCAGGUGAAGGAUACCUUUCACGGACAACCAAGGUUGACUGUGUUCUCUUACAAAAUUCAAAACCAAAUUCUCUAGCUGCAACAAGAAAAGCACCUUCAUCCGGGGACUCUGCCUCGUAUGUAUAAACGCCGGUCUCCUCAUUCAGUUCAGGAAUUGCAGUGUGACAAAUUGCUAAAAUUCGGAAGAACAAUAAAAGAACAUCAUGAUUAGGCUCAUUCAACCAGUUUCCACCAGUCAGGCGGCUGUCCUCAAAACUAAAAUACUUUAUGGCAGACUUCUGAUCCUUGCCAUCAGUUGAAGUAACAACAGUCUCCAGCUCAAUCUCAGAACCUAAUCUGCUAUGUGGCAUUGAAGACGGCUGGCUAUUCUUUUGUCCAUGGACAUCGGAAAAUUCUCCGUCCUGCUCCUCGAAGUCAUAUGCCAUCUGCCUUGCAGCUGCAAGUUCAACCUCACUAGAUUUAACACCAUAUGCAGUGCCAGCAAUGGAACAUUUCAGAUAGUCCAUUUGAUUGCAAGUCAAAGUGCCUGUUUUGUCAGAUAGGAUUGUGUCUACCUGACCCAAUUCCUCAUUCAAAUUGGAAGUUCUAGCUUGAGCUGGAUUGGCAGUCUCCUCACAAUACAUGUUAAUAUCUUGGUUAAUGAAGGAAGCUUGGAGAACCUUAACAACCUCGAUGGAAACAUAUAACGAGAUGGGUAUCAAAUAUCCAUAAAGUAUAAGAGCAGUGAUUAAAUGUAUGAGCCCUGAUAAGGUUGGCUUACGAGGGUUGUACAGUGGAUCAUGGUCAUCACCAGUAGUUCGUAAAUACCACCAGUCUGUCAUUUGGUACUUAGUUUUCACAGCAAAACCUAUUGAGCUUAUCGAUGAGAUCAAUAUAAGUAGAGUGAAAAGGAUGUAAAUAAUUUUGUCCAUUUUUCUCUCUAUUCUACUUCUUUUUGAAGGGGAUUUUGUAGCAUUCUGCAUGACUUUGCUAUCAUGUCCAGUAAAUAUCACCACCCCAUAGGCAUAAGCUGUAUUCCUCAAUUUUGAAUCUCUGAGGAGAAUCUGAUUAGGAUCAAGAGGAUAAACCUGCCGAUCAUACUCAAAGUUACCUACAAAGGUGUAAAGAUUUGGGUUUGGAUCUUCACAGUAAAUUUUUCCAGAAAAAUCUUUGAAAGUUGCAUCAUCAUCCAAUGGUAAGGUUACUUCCAAAGCUCUCUUUACUUUGAGAUUGGUUUCACCAUCCAAAUUCAUCGUUUCCACAUAACAUAUACCAUCCUCAUAGCACGACGACAAGAGGAGUAGAUCAGCUGGAAAGAACUGAUCCUUCUGUACUUUCACUAUAUCUCCUACUCGGAGCUUGUGCCAUGGUCUAUGGCCAAAAACACCUUCCCCUUUGUGGACACUCGCUUUCCUGAGGUUAACCUUCAUAUCCUGCACAAAUCGACGCCAGUCCUCAAGAGCUUCUUUAGCCAUACUGAGCCCAACAACAAAUACCAAAGGAGCAAUCAUGCUCACAGCAGAAAAUGGGGCAACUGGUGUGAGCGAUAACAACGCAGCCAAAAGAAAGUACAAAUUGGCAACUCUUCGGAAUUGCUCAAAGAGAGCCUUAGGCACAAAAGAAAGAACAUUAUACUUGGUCGUGGAUAUGUAAUUUGUGCAGUAUUUCAAUGGCUUUCUCUCAUGGGUUUGAGGCUGAUUACAACAUACAACUCGUGAAAAGCCAGGUCCUGUUAAAGGAUUUGAAUCGUCAACCUCCCGCGCGCUGUCUGCACGGAGGCAAGCAGCAAACGUAUAAAGAUGGCUUCGGCGGAUCCUCUGCCUUAUCCUUCCCCGUCUCAUUGACUCCAUCUUCAUCUUAAAAGGUGUAUGAUAAGGACACCAAUGUCAACACAAAAUCCUACCUGUUCUUACUGCAAUCUCUCCAUUUUCAUCCUAAUAACAACCAUACAAAUUAAUUAACAAAGAAAUCGUCCAGUUGGACAAUGACACAAAUCCACCCCCAGAAAACGAAUACCCAGACGGGUAAGCAUUCUAACAAACAUUUGAGCUGCAUUAAAAAAAUCCAUCUCACAACCAUCAAGGUAAAUCACGAAAAACCAAUACAAAUCAUGAGAAACUCUAAAAAAUUAAGCUAAUACCCUCGGAACAAAACCAAUUUAUUUUUCUUCUAAAACGAGAUUACACCCAGCAAUCCUACCCACACCACAAAAGGGAAAUAGAUCAAAAGAAGACGCAAAAACACAGCUCAACAAAUAGAAUUCACCUCAAAUCUCAAUCCCCAUUGAGGGAAAUCACGGCUCAAACAAAGAAAAAAGAAAGAGGGUAAAUCCAAUUAUUACUGAAAACCAAUAAUGUAGAGCUGAAACAUGAAUACAAUCAUCACCAAAACCAGAUUCCUAAGUCGAGAACACAAAAAAAAUCGAAAAGAAGAGAUUUUCAUGAAGAAUCAAGCCAAAAAAAAAAAACAGAAAAAAAAAAAGAAACCCAGAAAGCAAAAAAAAAAGAAGUAAGAGAAAUAUAAAGAAUGGUACCUGGGAGAAUCAGGAAAGAAAUCCAUCCAUAAGCAAUGGGUAAAAGAAAAGAAAAGAAAAGGAAUGAAGAAGGGAAGUUGCAGAUCAAGGAAGAAGAGGAAGAAUGAAGAAGGAAGAAGAAGAGAGAGAGAGAGAGAAAAUGGUGUUUAUUUAUUUGGUUAUGUAGAGAGAGGAAAUCUAGAGAAAGACAGAGAAACAGAGAAAAACAGGGUUUUAGGCCAAAAGAGAAAGAAAGAAGGAAAGAAAGAAAGAGAGAAAGAAAGAAAAACAAAAUGUCCUUUCUCUCUCUUUCUCUCUUUCUCUGUCUCUCUCUUCUUUUCUUAUUUUCUCUCCCUCUCUCUCCCUACCCUUCAAACUCAAAACCAAUGACACGAAAUUCCGGGCCCUCCCCUCUCUAUAUUUAUAUAUAUAUAUAUAUAUAUCGUUUAUUUACUCUUUUUUUUUUUUUCCUUUUCUUUUCUUUUAAAUUAAUUAUUUUUCUUUUAUGAAGAGAGAGAGAAGAAGAAUAGAAAUUACAAAAUUACAAAAUUACAAAAUUACAAGGUGGGUUUUGUUAAUAAAAAUGACCUGUCAAGUUUUUCAAAGUGGAAGAAAAGGCAACUCCCAACAGAGGGAAGAAUCAGUCUCUUCCCCUUCCCAUCCCCUUCGGGACCCACUUCUUCCUACGUGGCUUUUUUCUUUUUCUUCUUCUUCUUUUUCUUUUUUUUCUUUUUCUUCUCUUUUUUUUUUAAUCAUAUAAUUUAUAUAUAUAUAUAUUAUAUGUACAUGUGGAAGAAGUGGGGUGGGCCCACCUAAUCUUGGAAAACAUGGCAGUUAAACCAAACUUCCUUAAUUUUAGACUCAAUUGUAUUUCCCCUCAUUCUCUCUUAGAUAGUUUUCUUUUUUCUUUUUUCUUUUUUCUUUUUACAACAUUUAUUUUUAUACAUAAAUAUGUUUUUAUACUUAUAUCUAUCUAUUAUGUAUAUUCAAGUUGGAUUUAUAAUUUACAAAACUUUACCAUCUAUACUUAUUAGUUUUCAAAAAUUAUAUUUAGUUUCUUUAAUUCCCAUAUUUGUAGUUAAUUGUCUAUGACACUCGGAGCUUUAGCUAUCGAGUUUGUUGGUAAGAUUACGCUAUAGAUUUACUCAACUUCUAUAAGGAUGCAAACAAAGUGGGACAUGUCGUAGGGUUCGAAAUGAUCUCCUUGUCACCAUAUGAAAAUCAAGGGAUGGUUUUGAUUUUAAAAAAUAAUUUCAAGCAAAAUAUGAUGUAAAGUAAAUUAAUUUAAACUACAAAAUGUAAAGUAAAUUGAAGGUGCAACGAAUUGAUCGAUCGAGGAUUAAUUUAACAAGGUGUAUUUCAUAAAAAAGAUCAAAUUAUUUCUUAGUAUGGGUUGGGUAUACUGAAUUUAGGGUAAAGUUUGUCUAUCUUUUUAAUUAAAUAAAUGGUUGAAUUGACUACCAUUUAUUUCCACAAGUAAGAACAAAAGAAAAGUCCCUUUCUUUAUUGUGUUUAUUUGGGAUUUUGCUUAAAAGAAAAUCCAACAUCAUCAAGACUAUUUUAGUCCAAAAUAUCUUUUCUAUUGUUUUCUUAUGGCAUGUGUAUCAUUAUUUUUGGAUAAUUCUACUUUGAUAUUAUCUUAUUCAUAUAGUUCAUUUGUUCUAUAUAUAUAUUAAAUACCUCAUUUAAUUAUCAUAAUUAUUGAUUAUUUUCAUAUCUAAGUGUGAUAAUGAAAUUUGGUUUGAUUUUUACUAUAUCAAAUCAAACUAGUGAAAGAUUCAUUACCAUAGUAUUUUUUUACAUAGUUUAGGUUCACAUUUUUGCAUAUUAUGCAUUAGAUUUUUUAAACUAUUAUUUCAAUGUAUAGUAUGCAAUAUUCUAAACAAAAUAUAAAACUUUUAUUUCUAUGUUAUUUAUAGGUAGGUUGGAAAUUCUUCACCUAAUCAAUAAAAAAGGUAAGAAACAAUAUUUUUUUUUCAAAUUUUCAAAUUUAAUUUGAUCAAAUAACUUUAAGAUUUUCUUCAUUUUAUUUCUACAAAAUAUAUACAUAUAUUUGUGAGAUAUAUAUAAAUGAAACCCAACAAAAACAAAAUAGUCAUUUUCUGAAGUCAUUUGAAAAUUUUGAAUAUAUAGUUGAAUAGGACACAACAUAAAGUCAUCUCAACAUCAAAAUUCAUAUUUAACUUUGCUUCAACCUUACUUGUCUCAUUAUUUUGACAAUUCCAUUCAACUUAAUUUGUUAAAGCAAAAACCUCUAAAUGUGUUAGGUGAAAAUUUCCAUCUAGAUGUUUUUAUUUUAUUUAUUGCAAUCUUUUUUAUUAUAUAUAUAUAUAUAUAUAUAUAUAUUUAUAAAUUUUAGACACCCUAUUGGAUUGCCCAUAGAAAUGAAUGCCAUUUAGAAACCCCCAUGUCCUUCACAAUAACAUUUAUUCUCAAUUAUUUUUCCUUUUCUUGCCAACCAUAUCAUUUGACUUUCAAAUUCUUAAACUAUUUUAUUUAUAUUCAUAAAGUUUAGUGUAGUAAUGCUUCCAUAGUUUAAUUAAAAAAUAAAUAAAUUAAAGGAUGAUUUUCAAUAAGUUGAAAUUAAUUAGGUUAAGUAUCCACAUCUUCAUAUCCAACUAAGAAAGAAAGAGCUAAGUUGGAAUUUUAGUAAAAUAAAUAAAUAAAUAUAGUAUUUGAUACCUUACUUAUUACCUAAGUAUUAUUUUGCCUUUUAGACCAAUGAGCAACAUUUUCCCUUUCCCUCCUCUCAUAUACUUUCACAGUGAGAUUGAAAUCUAUACUUUUACUUUCAAUAAAUUUAAAUUUAGUUCACACCACUAUUUUAUUACUAUUAUUUUUUUAUUUUUUUAUUUUUUUAUUUUUUUUUAUUGUAGAACCAACUUGAAAUGAAAAAUGGGAUUUAAAUAUUAUGGUGAUAUUUGAAUUUAAUAUAAAGUAAAUAGAUAUGGGUAUUAAAGUUAGCAUAAAUGGAGGAUGACAUAUACAUUUAAUAAAGUCAUAUAUGAACUAUUAGUAAUGAUAGUUCCUUAUUCUGUGAUGCAGUGUUGAUUGGUUCAAACAAGUAGUGUGAAACAAAAAAAAUUAAUUCAUAAAAACAUCACAUCAUCUUUCCAUGAUUCAAUUUAAGUAAUGCUACCUAGUAAGAAGGACUCAAUACAAAUGUCUUUUAUACAUCAAUACUUUCACAAGUAAAAUGAAUACAUUUAAUAGUCUAAAUCAUUUAAAAUAAUUAUGAUUGCUUUGGAAACUUCAAACUUAUAAGUGAAUCCAUUUAUACUUUUAUCGAAAACCUCAAAUCUGGCGUAUGUAUAGGCUUUUUCCAAUAUCAAAUUAGUAUAUUACUAAUAGAUAAAGGUAAAUUUAAUAUAAUAUCUAAAAUUCUCUCUUAUAUAUAAUAUUGUAUGGACUUGAACUCAAAACACCCAAAACAAUACGUUUUUUUAAAUUACUAAUUCAAUCCAAAAGCUUAAACUUAUAGAUGAAAAAAAAAAAUGAAAUAUGAAAAUCCAACGGGUAAAAAUCAAUAUUAAAUGAAGAGAAAACAACGACAUAAACACUUGUUCUGGUACCAUCUUAAACUACCAAUUGAUCAAAGAAGACGUAACCUAUAUCUAACCAUUGUCAAGUAUUAAGCCGAAGGUAAAGAAUUCAAUCAUCUAUGAAGCUAAAAACACAAAUAUCAAAAUCAGAAGACUAAUUUAAGGUGAGAGAGGACUAAAUUAUAUGAGAUUAGUGGGAGGUGAGGUUAUCAAAUGGAUAGAGAUAGAUGAAUUGAAUAUGGAAAUUGGAACCUAGAAAGUGGAGCCCAGAACAUGAGUUCCCAAGAUUAAAAUUUUGGGGGAACGUGUUUCAGCUUUCAAUAUAGGUGGGUGGAAAAGGAAAAGGAAAAACAAAAUGAUAUGACUAAAUUACAAAAAUAAUAAUCAAAAUACUAAACUCAUGAAAUUAAAUACAAUAAAAUUAUUGACAUAUAUAAUCAAAAUCUCUCCAACUCAAUUAUUGGAAAGAUUGGUACAGAUGAGACUGAGCCAGAUGGAAUUAAAGGCAGCACGACAUGGAAAAAAUAAUAAUAAAGAAAAGAAAUGGAAGAAGGGCAAUUCUAAAGUCCAAAUGGCAUGGAAUGAAUUAAGUUAAUGGUGGAUGGUACAAGAGAAGAGAAGAGAAGAGAAGAGAUGAGUACUAUUAUUAAGAAAAUUUCCAAAGAAGGGAUUUGGGGAUUGGAACUUGGAAGGGCGGCAGAUAAAGAACAAGAGUGGACCAUAUUGCUUGGCGUUUUAUAGGAAAAUCUUGUCUUUAACCAUGUAAACCCCUGCUUUCAUGGUCUUCUCAGUCUCCCACGUGCCAUUUCUCCCUUGCAAACAUUUCUAAUUUCUAAACCCACACUAUUCCUAUAUAUAUAUAUAUAUAUAAGUAAUGUCGAGUAGAAUUUAAAAUAUGGAUAGAGGCAGGUUGGAUGCCUAUCAGGUAGGGCCGGUUAAUGGAAGAUAAGUUUAAAUAUGCUCGUAGACUUUUAAAAUGUUUCAUUUAAUUUAAAAGAAAAAUGAAAAUUUAUAUUCACAAGUGAAGAAGUGUCUUGACUAAUUAUAAUGGAUACUUCAUUUGAUCUUAAAAUACUUUAGUGUCAAAGAAACUGGUGAUAGCCACCAUGGAGGGGUAUGCAUAGUUGGAUUCUACAAUUUGUAGCAAAAAUACCUUUAGAAAGUUCUAUUUUUCUGUAAAAUAUAAUGAAAAUUGACUCCACCACUAAGGUGCAACAACUGGAAGGCAUGUGAGAAACUAUCGGGGUCAAAUUGAAAACUAAAGGUAUUUUUGUAGACAAUAUAAAAGGCAUUUAAUAAUAUAUUUGGUAAAAACAGAUCGCCCUUGGGACACGAGACAAGGUUACCAAAAUGGCAUUCAAAGAAUAUCGUUUAACAUUAAAGUACACCCCCCCCCCCCCCCCCCAAAAAAAAAAAAAAAAAAAAAGAAAGAGAGAAAAAGAGACAACGUGUGAAUGGCUAUGUCAUCGCUGAUUGCUCACAGAAUGGAUCAAGAAAAAGCCCAAUCAAUAAAGAUAGACAGAGACGGGGGAGUGGACCAAGAGGUCCAAUAUACAAGAAGCAAGAUGUUCAUAAAUUAGGUUGUGACCUAUGUCAAAUUUUCGGACAGCAAAACUGUUCGAUCUAAAUAAAUGCAAUUGGGAAAUGGAUUCGGGUUUAGACAGUUUGAGCUGUUGCCUUUUAGAAAACACAAAAAACUGUACACAAUCAAAUACUUCCAAGUCUUAUUUUGCUUAUUUGAUACAUCAAACUAUGAGUAUAUUAUUUACGAAGAAAUGAAUGGGGUAUGUUGGACUUGGGACUUGAGUUAUGUUUGGCUUUUCUAGGUUGUCGAUGUUUUCAAAUACAAAGAAAAGUGUAGGAAGAAGUUCAAAAUGCCCAUCUAAAUACAGCUAAGACCUCUAUAGGAGAAAAUUUAAGUUCUCAAGAUACAAAGGAUUCCCUUUAUCUUUCCCAAAUUUUCAAGAUACCAAGGAUUCAACCUCUACAUAAGAGAAAAAUAGAGUAAAAGAAUACGAGAGAUGGCAAUUACCAAGGCAAACUGAUUCACUUGCAUCCCUAAUGACAGCCUUCCCUUUUCAGAGUUUGAAACUGAUUAAUGUAACAGAGGCUCUAGAAAUGUUCCUUUUACGGAUAAACACAUUCAAGAGGCACUACUAAUUCCGUUUUGGAAGCCUUGAAAUGUGAGGCCUAAAAUUCGAGAUGACUCAAACAGUGAUGUUUAUGUUGCUGAGUGGCACCUUUCAUUACAAAUUCCUUUUUUCGCAAACAACACAUAAAUAUAGGCAUAUACUCACCAUAAAAAGAACCAAGUAUAAAAGGAAAACAAUCCAACAGAAGGUGAAGGAAAUGUGGGUUUUAUUGGUUAAUAUACAUAUAUAGUGGUACCCACACAAGUAAACAUGACCUUGAUAGUGUUUCUAUGAUUUUUAUUUUUUUUUACUGAAACAAACUUUUCAUUGAUAUAAUGAAAAGAGACUAUAGCUUAAGAUACAAAGUUCGGAAUGCAAAGAUACAAGAUGGUCUUUCUAUGCUGAUUACAUACUUUAAACAGAAUGCAAGACAGAUCAAACAUAGUCCAAUUUUCAUGUCAAUCUUCAAACAGUUAUUUUCCGGCUAAUGUUUUCAAAGAACAAGGUAGAUGACAUGGAGUUGCAUAAUAAAAAGAAACUAAGAAUCUAAAAAAGAAAGCAAACCUUAUUACAGCAUGGAGUCAACCUCUUCCUUGCUUUAAAGAAACUAAUGACUACCAGAAUCCUUCUUGGGAUGAAUUGCUCCUACGAGGGCCUCAACCUCUUCCUUGACUCUUCCAAACACUCCGGGGGCCUUUACUUCAUCAGCAGGCGUAGUCUCGUCAAUAUCAUCGCUUCUUCCAUGUGUUUCUUUGUGAUGCCGUGGGGAUUUAUUACAGUGGAUCACAGCCUCUAUCUCUUCUUUCGCUCUCUCAAAAAUAUUGGGCGAUUUUGGUUCUCUUUCUUCUCAUGGCACCCCAAGAGGGGAAAAAAAAAGAGAGAGAGACAUCAUGUCAGUCAGCCAAAAACCUCGAGCAAAAUCAAACUAUGAAUCUACAAAAGGAAUUGGAUCAACACCUUAACACACAUAAGUUCGAAAUUCAUACACUGAAAAUAAUUUGCUCUAGAAAACUUAAAGGAAAAGUAUCACUUCAGAAAUGACAACAGAUUCCUUUUGCACUAAACAUAAUGCACAUUAAAUCGGUCAAUCCUAAAUAUAUAAACCAGAUAAUGCUUUUAAAUCAAACAUUGCCUUACAAACAGCUAACCAAUCAACGCCAAUAAUUACUGCAAAUACGGACUAUCAAGUGUUUUCUAGCUCGAUUGCACGACAAUCACCAACAAGAAAUCACUGGAAAAGCUGAAAUACGUUAUCAACUAUAUGCCACUGGAUGAUCUUUACUUAAUGCAACGAUUUGAAGCUCAUUUUAUUCCAGAAACAGCAUAACAUCAGAGCAAUCAAAACAAUAGUGCCAAAAAUGAAGUUGAUGAGAACGAUAAAGAGAUUGAAAAUUUGGAAAUACCUGAAGAAGAGCCUUUGAUCUCAGUCUUCGACUCCUCCAUUUGAACUUUUCCGUGGGAUUGAUUAACCUGGUCUUACUCUUGUGCCCGUUCGCUGGGUGGGCUGGACUAUCGCUUUCCCCGUUUUCGAUGAGGCAAUAACGGGCGGUAGGGACGUAACGACAGUUCCAGCUGCGGGACGACUUGUCGUUUCGUUCUAUCUAUAUGUUAUAAAGCCCAAUUUGGGCCCAAUAUUUAACAUUUAGGACACUUACGGCCCAAAUCAAGGAAUGGGAAGCACCUUCCAAUUUAUUAUUAUUAUAUUUUUAACAAUUUUUCUUUAAUGACAAAAGGAGAACAUAAACGAAAGCUGAUCUCAAAAAAUAAAAGAAAGCCAUCGAUAAUGGACGUUUUUCGAACCAUCUUGUUUGAGAAACUAUCAUUUUAUAAGUAUUGAAAAGCAAACUCGUGAGUAUUUAAGUUAUAGUUGUAAUCGAUCUAAGUUUAUGAACUAAAUCAUAAUGUCGUGUUCAGAGGAGGAGGUCAAUAAAAGCUUGAGCUUUAGUAUCAUAUUUUACUUUUACUAUUAGAAGAUUUUUGAAUGUGGAUGAAAAUGGAAUAAUUUUCUACUAGAAAAGAAAAGAUAAUAUGCCUCAAGAUCUUUAGAAACAUCUUUAUGGAAAGUAAUUGUCUCACAAAGGUAUAGUUGAAUCCAUCAAUCUUGUAUAACUUUUCAAAGCUAACAUGAUAUGGGUAUUAGAAUCGUGAAUAACUAAAACUGCAUCGACGUUCACUUUGAAGGAGUGGAGAGAAAGAUGAGACCCACAAGUAACAUUUUGAAUUAAUUUGAAAGUAGUAUUUGGCGAAGUAGAAGAACUAUAAGGUAGCCAAAGAUUGAUAUGAGAUCCAAAUGUUCCACCGCUUUUAGAGCCUAUCAAAUAAGGUUUGUGUCUAUUUAGUUUCUUAAGAAAAAACAAAUAAUGAAUCCAUGUUUUUUUUUUAAUAUUUUGAAAAGUGUUUUAAUACAACUAUACAUUAAAAGUUUAUUGAUUGAUCAUAUAUAUAUCAAUUUUUUGCAUAGUUGAUUUAUGUGCAACAGACAAAAAUCCAAAAGUCAAGAAGAAAGUCAAAAACAAUUCAUCGUCAUUUUUUAGAGAAACUCAUGAUAUUUUCUAUCGUUCUUAUGAAAAUGUUUAGAAUGAAAUUUGAUCUAAUGACCUUUUUUUUUGGAUAAGUUAAUUAGAAUCUUUAAUAUUUUUUACGCAAUACAUGAAAGAUAAGAUUCAAAACUCUCACAUCGACUCGUAAUCACUAUUAGUUGUAAAUCACUUAAACUAUACUCGUUUUUUAAUUAGAAAGAACUCAAAAGUUAAGGUUAAUUGUGGACAAUGAAUACGGCGUCGUUUCAUCUUUUGAUUAGAUUAAGAAAAUUAAGCGCCGGAAGGCAUUUAAAAUCGAAUUAGUUAUUUAAAUUCCGUAGCCGUUACAUUCCACAUUGCAGCCUUUCGUUUUUCCCUUUUUCUCUUUUUCACUUUAGAGACUUUUCGAAUUUCAAAAUUUAAACGGCUCUUUCAAUGGGAGCCCAGCUUCCCUCUUCCAUUUAUUCAAUCUCCACCAACGCCAUUACUCAGUUUCUUCUUUCUUUUCUAGACUAGAUUCCUUCCAUUCACAAACUUCUAAAACCCUACAAAUCUGCACAUUCUUAUACAGACUGAUUCUAAUGGGUUCUUCCAGAAGCUGGCUAAAAUCUCUCAUCAGUCACAAAAAGUCUCAUCCAGUUACCGAGCAAGUAAGCCUUGCGUUUGCUUUGUUUGUCUGAAAAUUCUAUGCUCUGAUUUUCAUUUCGACGGAUAAUGACGUUUUUUGGGUGUGAUUCUGUAGGAGAAAGUUGGGGAUCGGAGCAAGAAGAAAUGGAGGUUAUGGAGGAGCUUGUCUGAUGGGUAUGGAUCUUCGGGUAAAAUUACGAAGAGGGGAUUUUCUGAAUCGACAGAAUCGCACGAUUCAAAGCUUUUGGCUAACGCUGUGGCUGCUGUGGCUCGAGCUCCGUUGAAGGAUUUCGUGGUUGUGAGGCAACAUUGGGCUGCCGUUCGAAUCCAGACGACUUUUCGUGGCUUUUUGGUAUAUAGUACUCUUACCCACUUCUCUAAAUCUGUAAGCAUGGAUUUGGAAAUCUGGAUUUUUAGGAUUCCUUCAUUUAUUGUGUGCAGUUUGUUUUAUUUUCUUCUCCUCUUCAUAAUGGGCACAUGGUUGACUCUAUAUUCUUCAUUUUCGUCAAUUGGACUUUGGGCUAGGAGAAGUGAUGCAAUCUUUCACUUAAACUUCACUAAUUGCCGCUAUUUUUGCUUUCAAUUACAUUUUCACUUUUCAGGGAAAUUGUUGGAAGACAGGUCUUCUCACAUACGUUAGAGACUUCUGUGUGAGCUAAUGAGUGUGCCUUUCCCCCCCAAGGAGGAUCUGCGCUUGGGACCUGGAUGUGAUACGAUUUGAGUAGAACUAUUCUGUGACUCUCCUUAGGAGUCGCCAUUUUUUGACCCACUAGUUAUUUCAUAAUUUACUACUCUUACACCAUGACUUAAGUUUUUGGAUUUAGUUGCGAUUAAGUGGAGUUGGUUACCAUGUGAUCUGGUCUGCCUAUAACUGUUGGAAAUGCCUUGAUUCCAGUAGGUUUGCAGGGAAAUUGUUGGAUUUUUUUUUUUCUGUAAUAAAACUGUUCUUCCUUCGUUGGUGUAGGUGUAGCUAACAUAUUGGUAGUAAACUACUGUCUCACCGCUUCCGAGAUGUGCAUUUUUUUCGAAGUGUUUUGAUAACAUUCUUUGGUUUGUGUUCUGCAGGCAAGACGGGCUCUGAGGGCAUUGAAGGCAGUGGUGAGGAUUCAGGCCAUAUUCCGGGGUCGGCAAGUGAGGAAGCAAGCGGCUGUGACACUGAGGUGUAUGCAGGCACUUCUCCGAGUUCAAGCCAGAGUUAGAGCGAGAUCAGUUACCGCAGAUGCUGACCAAGAAGAAGUUGAUCCAAUCAAACAGGCUGAGGCAAAUUUCUGAAACUAACAUGACUCCUGUUCCCGUUGUGAACUUCGAAUUCUAAAACAUUAUAAUGUUAUUGUCUUGCAGAAGGGAUGGUGUGACAGUCGGGGAACCGUGGAAGAAGUGAAAAACAAGCAUCAAAUGAGAAGAGAGGGAGCUGUCAAAAGGGAAAGAGCUCUUGCUUAUUCCAUCUUACAACAGGUAAGAAGAGUUGUCUAAAUAUACAUUUUAGUCGUUUAUUCUUUAAGAUGGCUUGAUUUAGUUCUCUAAAUUUCUUCCUAUUCAGAGAUCAAAAUCAUGUGCUAGUCCAAAUAGAGGCACGAGCAAACAAAUGCUCCACCAUAGGAAGUAUGACAAGAAUUACAAGCAACAGGAUUGGGGUUGGUUAGACCGGUGGAUGGCGGCCAAAUCAUGGGAAACUGGUUCAUUGGACACUGUACCACCGGAAAUGACACCGUUUUCUCGGAGAAGUGAAAACGUUUGCGGCUACUAUCCAGACAGUGUUAGAACCAGAAAGAAUAAUGUCACAACAAGAAUCUCGGCUCAACAACCCUCCUUUUCAUCCAAUCAAAUUUCUCGUACUCCAUCUUCCUCAGAGUCUGUAUACGACGAAUACUCUCCCUCCACAUCAUCCUCCUCCUCGGCACCAGUGGUAGCAACAGGUGAAGAGGAGGUGGGAAGCAAGCCAAGUUAUAUGUAUCCCACGGUGUCCAUCAAAGCAAAGCAGAGAACUUGCGGAGGAGGGGGCAAGAAUUUACCAAUCCCAGGCAGUGUGAGGACAACGCCAGUUGAAAAUCGAGAAACGAGCAACAGUACAUGCUCUGAAAAUUCAGGGAGGUUGUGUCGUGAUAUGUAUCAAGAAGUGCCAUUUGGGCGGCGAGAUUGGGUUAGAUGCUGAAACAAGCCACCGUCGGUUUGCUGCGAGUGUUUGUGAUCUGAAUUUUCCAUUUUUUUUCCCUUUCAGUUCAACAACUUGUUGUUCUUUUUUGUGUGGUUUUUGUGGGUGGUGUGGUGUGUUUGAUAUAUACAACAAACCUUGUGAUGGGUGACAAAGAGGAAGAUGUAUGUAAUAUUGAUACUCUAAAUACAAAAUACAAGCAUUCACAUUUUCUUUUUUCAAGUGUUUGCACAUUUUAAGCUACUUUUUAUUCAACCAUUAUAGGAACAACACAAUAUCAAUAUUUCAAAUACGUGUUCUUAAGAUAGUGUGUGCAUUUUCAAGGAGUCAAUGUUUGUAAAUUGUUUUGAAAAGAAGAAUGAUGAUACACACCACAUGUUUGUUAAGCUGUUUUUGUAAUUUUCCAACUUCUUUUAA